AGCGAACGCUGGCGGCAGGCCUAACACAUGCAAGUCGAACGAACUCUUCGGAGUUAGUGGCGGACGGGUGAGUAACACGUGGGAACGUGCCUUUAGGUUCGGAAUAACUCAGGGAAACUUGUGCUAAUACCGAAUGUGCCCUUCGGGGGAAAGAUUUAUCGCCUUUAGAGCGGCCCGCGUCUGAUUAGCUAGUUGGUGAGGUAAAGGCUCACCAAGGCGACGAUCAGUAGCUGGUCUGAGAGGAUGAUCAGCCACAUUGGGACUGAGACACGGCCCAAACUCCUACGGGAGGCAGCAGUGGGGAAUCUUGCGCAAUGGGCGAAAGCCUGACGCAGCCAUGCCGCGUGAAUGAUGAAGGUCUUAGGAUUGUAAAAUUCUUUUACCGGGGACGAUAAUGACGGUACCCGGAGAAGAAGCCCCGGCUAACUUCGUG
Molecule: ribosomal RNA, 433 nt
Filed under: uncultured bacterium
Lineage: Bacteria
Description: partial 16S ribosomal RNA
Rfam family: Bacterial small subunit ribosomal RNA
Source: RNAcentral